This is a non-coding RNA of Oryzias latipes (Japanese medaka), 589 nucleotides long. Lineage: Eukaryota; Metazoa; Chordata; Actinopteri; Beloniformes; Adrianichthyidae. The record is from RefSeq and is a predicted model, not a curated record.
GUUACUUAUCACGCCCUUCCCCCGUCUCAGUGAGUUCAAGAGUCAUGGGAUCUUUCCCCAUGACUCAGCAAAGAUCAUCCUACAUUAUAGGUUACUCAAUUGUGCAACUUGACCAAUCAGCAGAGAGCAGGGUCAGAUCAAAUUUCCCUUUCUCUGCAAAAUCAGAAAAAGUUGCUUUUGCAGCUCAGUUCACUGGACAUUUUCAAAGGAAUCGUCAAAACUAACCAUGUUUCCAUCAAUUUUUUAUGGCAAGAGGAGGGAGACUGCUGUUGUGCCAGUCCACCCUGACAUUAGUGAUGUUGAUGAGGAUCAAGAUGAUGAUGUGUCAGACCCCGACUUCGCCCCACCCACCAACAACCAGGACAUUCCCAGACCCUCACACACAGUUGUGUGAGGGUCUAUUCAACACUUUUGUUAUCAGCACUUUUUGUUAUUAUCACGUUUAUGUUCUAAAAGUGAUGUUCAAAUACAUAAUAUGUGUUUUUCUUAUAUUUAUAUAUAUAUGUAUACUUAUUGGAAUUUGUUUUCCCACUCACGGGCAAGUGACCAAAUAUGGUAACUUCAUUGGCAUUGAUUUUCUACAUGAAAA